UACGGAGGGUGCGAGCGUUGUCCGGAAUCAUUGGGCGUAAAGGGCGCGUAGGUGGCGGGACAAGCGUGCGGUGAAAGCUCGGGGCUCAACCCCGAGUCGGCCGUGCGAACUGUUUUGCUUGAGCACUGUAGAGGCAGGCGGAAUUCCGGGUGUAGCGGUGGAAUGCGUAGAGAUCCGGAAGGACACCGGUGGCGAAGGCGGCCUGCUGGGCAGUAGCUGACACUGAGGCGCGACAGCGUGGGGAGCAAACAGG
RNAcentral lists this ribosomal RNA (253 nucleotides) under uncultured bacterium. RNAcentral describes it as "partial 16S ribosomal RNA". It matches the Rfam family "Bacterial small subunit ribosomal RNA", at positions 524 to 776 of the family's 1533-position model. The record is from RNAcentral.